GAGUUUGAUCCUGGCUCAGAAUGAACGUUGGCGGCAUGGAUUAGGCAUGCAAGUCGAGCGAGAAGGAAAUCAAAGUUUACUUUGAUUUCCGGAAAGCGGCGCAAGGGAGAGUAACGCGUAGUUAUCUACCCCAAGGCCCGGAAUAGCUGCGGGAAACUGCAGGUAAUGCCGGAUAAUAUCCCCGGAUCAAAGGUGUGAUUCCGCCUUGGGAGGAGACUGCGUUGUACUAGCUUGUUGGUAGGGUAAUGGCCUACCAAGGCUACGAUGCAUAGCGGGCGUGAGAGCGUGGCCCGUCUCACUGGGACUGAAACACUGCCCAGACACCUACGGGUGGCUGCAGUCGAGAAUCUUCGGCAAUGGGCGAAAGCCUGACCGAGCAAUGCCGCGUGCGGGAUGAAGGCCCUCGGGUUGUAAACCGCUGUCGUAGGGGAGAAAGGUCUCAUGAAGAAUGAGAUUUGAUCUAUCCUAGGAGGAAGUCCGGGCUAAGUUCGUGCCAGCAGCCGCGGUAACACGAACCGGACAAACGUUAUUCGGAAUUAUUGGGCUUAAAGGGUGCGUAGGCGGUGCGGUAAGUGAGGUGUGAAAGCCCUCGGCUCAACCGAGGAAUUGCGCUUCAUACUGCCGUGCUGGAGGGAGACAGAGGUAAGCGGAACUGAUGGUGGAGCGGUGAAAUGCGUUGAUAUCAUCAGGAACACCGGUGGCGAAAGCGGCUUACUGGGUCUCUUCUGACGCUGAGGCACGAAAGCUAGGGUAGCGAACGGGAUUAGAUACCCCGGUAGUCCUAGCCGUAAACGAUGAGCACUUGAUUGAGGGCCCCCCCCAUAGGCUCUCGAUCGCAGCGAAAGUGUUAAA
Molecule: ribosomal RNA, 852 nt
Filed under: uncultured Planctomycetota bacterium
Lineage: Bacteria; Pseudomonadati; Planctomycetota
Description: bacterial SSU rRNA
Rfam family: Bacterial small subunit ribosomal RNA
Source: RNAcentral